Molecule: ribosomal RNA, 433 nt
Filed under: uncultured bacterium
Lineage: Bacteria
Description: partial 16S ribosomal RNA
Rfam family: Bacterial small subunit ribosomal RNA
Source: RNAcentral
AACGAACGCUGGCGGCAUGCCUAACACAUGCAAGUCGAACGAGACCUUCGGAUCUAGUGGCGCACGGGUGCGUAACGCGUGGGAACCUGCCCGUAGGCUCGGAAUAAUUCUCCGAAGGGGGUGCUAAUACAGGAUAAUGUCUUCGGAUCAAAGAUUCAUCGCCCUUGGAUGGGCCCGCGUUGGUUAAGCUAGUUGGUAGGGUAAAAGCCUACCAAGGCGAGGAUCGAUAGCUGGUCUGAGAGGAUGAGCAGCCACACUGGGACUGAGACACGGCCCAGACUCCUGCGGGAGGGAGCAAUGGGGGAUACUGGAAUAUGGGGGGAAGCCUGAUCCAGCAAUGCCGGGUGAGUGAUGAAGGCCGUAAGGUUGUAAAGCUCGUUUACCCGGGAUGAUAAUGACAGUACCGGAAGAAUAAGCUCCGGCUAACUCCGUG